Molecule: long non-coding RNA, 430 nt
Filed under: Gossypium barbadense (sea-island cotton)
Lineage: Eukaryota; Viridiplantae; Streptophyta; Magnoliopsida; Malvales; Malvaceae
Description: long non-coding RNA (GBAR_LNC018342)
Source: RNAcentral
GUACACAUGUCGUCGGAAUAAUAACUUUGGUCCAUGUGUUGGGUCGUGCUUAGGCUUCACUUGGUGAUAGUUGUGGAGCUCGAGUCCCGUGAUGGCUUGAUUUCUCUAGUCAUUAAUGACUUGGUUUCUUGAGUUUCUAGUGAAACUCAUUUUUUGCUGGAUUUUCAUUGCAUUUUUUGUUUCAAGUCAGAGAUGUUCCCACUACUACAGCAACGAUAAUUUUCAUAGAGACUCACCGCAUCAAGGUUUUGCUUCUUUGAUCGAUGAGAGGGUCAUGAGUACGUGUCAGGGUUUCUCCUUGCUCCCACUUAUCAACAGGGAGACUUGAUUCACGUAAUGUAGGCUCACUUGUAUUAGGUUUUACAUGCCUUUUGAGGCUUUCUCUUGUACAAGGCUAAGGUCUCAACUGCUUUCUUCGUUGUGUAACCGG